This 370-nucleotide unclassified non-coding RNA is filed under the name uncultured Chytridiomycota. RNAcentral's name for it is "sequence contains ITS1". The stretch from base 1 to 105 matches the Rfam family "5.8S ribosomal RNA", at positions 50 to 154 of the family's 154-position model. The record is from RNAcentral. Lineage: Eukaryota; Fungi; Chytridiomycota.
GAAAUGCGAUAAGUAGUGUGAAUUGCAGAAUUCAGUGAAUCAUCGAAUCUUUGAACGCACAUUGCGCCCUCUGGUAUUCCGGAGAGCAUGCCCGUUUCAGAAUCAUUAAAAACUCACCAUUCCCCUGGGCGUAGCCCACGGAACGGUGGAUGUUGGAUGGUUUGAGCGUCUGCCCAAACAUCUUAAAACCAUGGUACGUGCUCCAGCUGUAGCCGGUUGGAUGUUAAGGUGCAACAGAAUCUCUCUAUUCGCUUUGACGUUCAACUGAUGAGGUUGGUAGAGCGCGCACUCCUGGCCUACGAUGGGACCGCGGAAACGGUCCCACCGGUAACUUGGUCUGAAAUCGGGCAAGAAAACCCGCUGAACUUAA